GGAGGGAUGGCUGAAUUGGUAAAAGCGGAGCUUUGCUAAAGCUUUGUCGGUGACGACACGCAGGUUCGAACCCUGUUCCCUCCU
This 84-nucleotide transfer RNA is filed under the name Prevotella sp. RNAcentral describes it as "tRNA-Ser". It matches the Rfam family "tRNA". Rfam says of the family: Transfer RNA (tRNA) molecules are approximately 80 nucleotides in length. Their secondary structure includes four short double-helical elements and three loops (D, anti-codon, and T loops). The record is from RNAcentral. Lineage: Bacteria; Pseudomonadati; Bacteroidota; Bacteroidia; Bacteroidales; Prevotellaceae.